This is a long non-coding RNA of Anopheles arabiensis, 352 nucleotides long. RefSeq lists it as uncharacterized. NCBI's taxonomy places the organism in Eukaryota, Metazoa, Arthropoda, Insecta, Diptera, Culicidae. The record is from RefSeq and is a predicted model, not a curated record. The transcript is spliced from 2 exons.
GCUGAAUUCUUCUCCACAUCAAACAAAUGAACAGGUUCUUGGUUAAUGGGAUUUUCAAGAAAUAUUCGCAUUCUUUCGGAUUUGUUGCUCGUGCAGCUGCUUCGCCAUCACCCUUCAGCGUCGUCUUAUACAAGGUUAGUUCCACCCGGUUCUUUUUCCCCUUUUCGUUCGGUGAUGGGUACACACGGCUAUAGACAUGCAUAUAUACCGCCAAUACAGCGAGAGAGAGCAAAAUGGGAAAAGGAUUCCGUGGGCCUGUGUUAUACGGGGGAUCGGAAACUAAUACAACACAACAUUCCUGCCUCUUCUCUAACGAUUUGGGUAACAGUUUGGUAACAUAUAUAAAAAAAAA